GAGGAAUAUUGGGCAAUGGACGCAAGUCUGACCCAGCCAUGCCGCGUGAAGGAAGACGGCCCUAUGGGUUGUAAACUUCUUUUAUAUAGGAAUAAUGGUCUCUACG
This 106-nucleotide ribosomal RNA is filed under the name uncultured bacterium. Its description in RNAcentral is "partial 16S ribosomal RNA". It matches the Rfam family "Bacterial small subunit ribosomal RNA", at positions 356 to 460 of the family's 1533-position model. The record is from RNAcentral.